Molecule: ribosomal RNA, 2902 nt
Filed under: Klebsiella pneumoniae
Lineage: Bacteria; Pseudomonadati; Pseudomonadota; Gammaproteobacteria; Enterobacterales; Enterobacteriaceae
Also listed under: 1 other name
Description: 23S ribosomal RNA
Rfam family: Bacterial large subunit ribosomal RNA
Source: RNAcentral
GGUUAAGCGACUAAGCGUACACGGUGGAUGCCCUGGCAGUCAGAGGCGAUGAAGGACGUGCUAAUCUGCGAAAAGCGUCGGUAAGGUGAUAUGAACCGUUAUAACCGGCGAUGUCCGAAUGGGGAAACCCAGUGUGAUUCGUCACACUAUCGUUAACUGAAUACAUAGGUUAACGAGGCGAACCGGGGGAACUGAAACAUCUAAGUACCCCGAGGAAAAGAAAUCAACCGAGAUUCCCCCAGUAGCGGCGAGCGAACGGGGAGCAGCCCAGAGUCUGAAUCAGCUUGUGUGUUAGUGGAACGGUCUGGAAAGUCCGACGGUACAGGGUGAUAGUCCCGUACACCAAAAUGCACAGGUUGUGAACUCGAAGAGUAGGGCGGGACACGUGGUAUCCUGUCUGAAUAUGGGGGGACCAUCCUCCAAGGCUAAAUACUCCUGACUGACCGAUAGUGAACCAGUACCGUGAGGGAAAGGCGAAAAGAACCCCGGCGAGGGGAGUGAAAAAGAACCUGAAACCGUGUACGUACAAGCAGUGGGAGCACCUUCGGGUGUGACUGCGUACCUUUUGUAUAAUGGGUCAGCGACUUAUAUUCUGUAGCAAGGUUAACCGUAUAGGGGAGCCGCAGGGAAACCGAGUCUUAACUGGGCGUUAAGUUGCAGGGUAUAGACCCGAAACCCGGUGAUCUAGCCAUGGGCAGGUUGAAGGUUGGGUAACACUAACUGGAGGACCGAACCGACUAAUGUUGAAAAAUUAGCGGAUGACUUGUGGCUGGGGGUGAAAGGCCAAUCAAACCGGGAGAUAGCUGGUUCUCCCCGAAAGCUAUUUAGGUAGCGCCUCGUGAAUUCAUCUUCGGGGGUAGAGCACUGUUUCGGCUAGGGGGUCAUCCCGACUUACCAACCCGAUGCAAACUACGAAUACCGAAGAAUGUUAUCACGGGAGACACACGGCGGGUGCUAACGUCCGUCGUGAAGAGGGAAACAACCCAGACCGCCAGCUAAGGUCCCAAAGUCAUGGUUAAGUGGGAAACGAUGUGGGAAGGCACAGACAGCCAGGAUGUUGGCUUAGAAGCAGCCAUCAUUUAAAGAAAGCGUAAUAGCUCACUGGUCGAGUCGGCCUGCGCGGAAGAUGUAACGGGGCUAAACCAUGCACCGAAGCUGCGGCAGCGACACGAUGUGUUGUUGGGUAGGGGAGCGUUCUGUAAGCCUGCGAAGGUGUGCUGUGAGGCAUGCUGGAGGUAUCAGAAGUGCGAAUGCUGACAUAAGUAACGAUAAAGCGGGUGAAAAGCCCGCUCGCCGGAAGACCAAGGGUUCCUGUCCAACGUUAAUCGGGGCAGGGUGAGUCGACCCCUAAGGCGAGGCCGAAAGGCGUAGUCGAUGGGAAACAGGUUAAUAUUCCUGUACUUGGUGUUACUGCGAAGGGGGGACGGAGAAGGCUAUGUUAGCCGGGCGACGGUUGUCCCGGUUUAAGCAUGUAGGCUGGUUGUCCAGGCAAAUCCGGAUAAUCAAGGCUGAGGUGUGAUGACGAGGCACUACGGUGCUGAAGUAACAAAUGCCCUGCUUCCAGGAAAAGCCUCUAAGCAUCAGGUAACAUCAAAUCGUACCCCAAACCGACACAGGUGGUCAGGUAGAGAAUACCAAGGCGCUUGAGAGAACUCGGGUGAAGGAACUAGGCAAAAUGGUGCCGUAACUUCGGGAGAAGGCACGCUGGUGUGUAGGUGAAGUCCCUGCGGAUGGAGCUGAGACCAGUCGAAGAUACCAGCUGGCUGCAACUGUUUAUUAAAAACACAGCACUGUGCAAACACGAAAGUGGACGUAUACGGUGUGACGCCUGCCCGGUGCCGGAAGGUUAAUUGAUGGGGUUAUCCGUAAGGAGAAGCUCUUGAUCGAAGCCCCGGUAAACGGCGGCCGUAACUAUAACGGUCCUAAGGUAGCGAAAUUCCUUGUCGGGUAAGUUCCGACCUGCACGAAUGGCGUAAUGAUGGCCAGGCUGUCUCCACCCGAGACUCAGUGAAAUUGAACUCGCUGUGAAGAUGCAGUGUACCCGCGGCAAGACGGAAAGACCCCGUGAACCUUUACUAUAGCUUGACACUGAACAUUGAGCCUUGAUGUGUAGGAUAGGUGGGAGGCUUUGAAGCGUGGACGCCAGUCUGCGUGGAGCCAACCUUGAAAUACCACCCUUUAAUGUUUGAUGUUCUAACGUUGGCCCCUGACCGGGGUUGCGGACAGUGUCUGGUGGGUAGUUUGACUGGGGCGGUCUCCUCCCAAAGCGUAACGGAGGAGCACGAAGGUUAGCUAAUCCUGGUCGGACAUCAGGAGGUUAGUGCAAUGGCAUAAGCUAGCUUGACUGCGAGCGUGACGGCGCGAGCAGGUGCGAAAGCAGGUCAUAGUGAUCCGGUGGUUCUGAAUGGAAGGGCCAUCGCUCAACGGAUAAAAGGUACUCCGGGGAUAACAGGCUGAUACCGCCCAAGAGUUCAUAUCGACGGCGGUGUUUGGCACCUCGAUGUCGGCUCAUCACAUCCUGGGGCUGAAGUAGGUCCCAAGGGUAUGGCUGUUCGCCAUUUAAAGUGGUACGCGAGCUGGGUUUAGAACGUCGUGAGACAGUUCGGUCCCUAUCUGCCGUGGGCGCUGGAGAAUUGAGGGGGGCUGCUCCUAGUACGAGAGGACCGGAGUGGACGCAUCACUGGUGUUCGGGUUGUCAUGCCAAUGGCACUGCCCGGUAGCUAAAUGCGGAAGAGAUAAGUGCUGAAAGCAUCUAAGCACGAAACUUGCCCCGAGAUGAGUUCUCCCUGAGACUUUAAGUCUCCUGAAGGAACGUUAAAGACGAUGACGUUGAUAGGCCGGGUGUGUAAGCGCAGCGAUGCGUUGAGCUAACCGGUACUAAUGAACCGUGAGGCUUAACCUU